GGGGAGUUAGAGGUACCCAGUUUCACGGCUCCAGACCACCACCAGGAGGAGGUAGAGGUACCCAGUGUCACGGUUCCAGACCACCACCAGGGGGAGUUAGAGGUACCCAGUGUAACGGCUCCAGACCACCACCAGGGGGAGUUAAAGGUACCCAGUGUCACGGUUCCAGACCACCACCAGGGGGAGUUAGAGGUACCCAGUGUAACGGCUCCAGACCACCACCAGGGGGAGUUAGAGGUACCCAGUGUCACGGCUUCAUUGCUCCAGACCACCACAAGGGGGAGUUAGAGGUACCCAGUGUAACGGCUCCAGACCACCACCAGGGGGAGUUAGAGGUACCCAGUGUCACGGCUUCAUUGCUUCAGACCACCACCAGGGGAGUUAGAGGUACCCAGUGUCAUGGCUCCAGACCACCACCAGGGGGAGUUAGAGGUACCCAGUGUAACGGCUCCAGACCACCACCAGGGGGAGGUAGAGGUACUCAGUGUCACGGCU
Oncorhynchus tshawytscha (Chinook salmon) is the source of this 495-nucleotide long non-coding RNA. Lineage: Eukaryota; Metazoa; Chordata; Actinopteri; Salmoniformes; Salmonidae. The record is from Ensembl.